RNAcentral lists this ribosomal RNA (429 nucleotides) under Acidobacteriota bacterium. Its description in RNAcentral is "Acidobacteria bacterium partial 16S ribosomal RNA". It matches the Rfam family "Bacterial small subunit ribosomal RNA", at positions 355 to 776 of the family's 1533-position model. The record is from RNAcentral. Lineage: Bacteria; Pseudomonadati; Acidobacteriota.
UGGGGAAUUUUGGACAAUGGGGGAAACCCUGAUCCAGCCAUCCCGCGUGUGCGAUGAAGGCCUUCGGGUUGUAAAGCACUUUUGGCAGGAAAGAAACGUCAUGGGUUAAUACCCCGUGAAACUGACGGUACCUGCAGAAUAAGCACCGGCUAACUACGUGCCAGCAGCCGCGGUAAUACGUAGGGUGCAAGCGUUAAUCGGAAUUACUGGGCGUAAAGCGUGCGCAGGCGGUUCGGAAAGAAAGAUGUGAAAUCCCAGAGCUCAACUUUGGAACUGCAUUUUUAACUACCGGGCUAGAGGGUGUCAGAGGGAGGUGGAAUUCCGCGUGGAGCAGUGAAAUGCGUAGAUAUGCGGAGGAACACCGAUGGCGAAGGCAGCCUCCUGGGAUAACACUGACGCUCAUGCACGAAAGCGUGGGGAGCAAACAGG